UAAWAAAUUWAGUCAACCCCUGUGAACAUACCUAUACGUUGCCUCGGCGGAUCAGCCCGCGCCCCGUAAAACGGGACGGCCCGCCCGAGGACCCUAAACUCUGUUUUUAGUGGAACUUCUGAGUAAAACAAACAAAUAAAUCAAAACUUUCAACAACGGAUCUCUUGGUUCUGGCAUCGAUGAAGAACGCAGCAAAAUGCGAUAAGUAAUGUGAAUUGCAGAAUUCAGUGAAUCAUCGAAUCUUUGAACGCACAUUGCGCCCGCCAGUAUUCUGGCGGGCAUGCCUGUUCGAGCGUCAUUUCAACCCUCAAGCUCAGCUUGGUGUUGGGACUCGCGGUAACCCGCGUUCCCCAAAUCGAUUGGCGGUCACGUCGAGCUUCCAUAGCGUAGUAAUCAUACACCUCGUUACUGGUAAUCGUCGCGGCCACGCCGUAAAACCCCAACUUCUGAAUGUUGACCUCGGAUCAGGUAGGAAUACCCGCUGAACUUAAGCAUAUCAAUAAGCGGAGGAA
RNAcentral lists this ribosomal RNA (512 nucleotides) under Fusarium equiseti. RNAcentral's name for it is "eukaryotic LSU rRNA". The stretch from base 145 to 298 matches the Rfam family "5.8S ribosomal RNA". The record is from RNAcentral. Lineage: Eukaryota; Fungi; Ascomycota; Sordariomycetes; Hypocreales; Nectriaceae.